GUCUCGAUACAUUUUGGCAAGUCUCAAUAUGUGUAAUGUUGCUCUCUAGAAUUUGAAGUCUGGAAAGGAUGUUUCAAAAAUUUGACAAGUAGGUCUUCACACAUUGACACUUGCUCUUUGGAAAUUGAAGUUUUGAAGGCGAUGUCUUGAUACUUUGAAGGUAAGUCUCGAUACAUUGGCACAUACUCUUUGAAAAUUAAAGUCUAGAGGUGAAGUCUCGAUAUCUUAAAGCUAGGUCUUGAUACAUGGACACUUGCCCUCUGGAAUUUUGGAUUUUUGAGGUGAUGUCUCGAUACUUCAAGUCCAAGUCUCGAUACAUCAGCACUUGUCUUCUGGAAUUUAAGGCUCCAUAGGUGAUGUCUUUUUACUUGCAAGAAAUGUCUCGAUAUUGCUACUUCUUGAGGCUGUUUCUGAGGUGGAUUUGUCUCAAAUCAUAAUAUUUAUAUGGUUUGAACAUAUAUGCAUCAUGGGUUUAGAUUUUCAAAGGUAGAUUGCAUGGUAUCAAAAUGAAAUAGCAUUGUUUAUUAACUCUUCCACUGUUCAUUGCUCGUUCCCUUCCAUUAUCCCUCACUAAGUUGUACUUACCUUUUUAAGUUUACAAGUUUUGGUUUUUAGAUUCGAAGGAAGUUGGGUCGUAGAUUGUGAGGAAGAUCCUUAUUCACCACUUUUUUGGUAGGCUGUAUGUAUGGCAUCGGUAGAUGUUACCACACCAGUCUUGACUCUAUUGAAUAGUUGCGAACACUUUUACUUUGGUUAUAGUAUGGGUGUCACCACACAAUUUAAUGUAGCCAUGGGUUGGCAACCUAAGUUAUACUUUUGUAAGGUGUAGGGGUAUACCUAUGAAGGAAUGAGUUAUGCGAAUUGGUUGCUAAUACAUGUAAUAAAAUGCUUUUGAUAUGAAAUUAUAGAAAUGGACUGGUUUGUAUAUUUGAGUAUGAAAUGAAUGGUUCCUAUGAGAUUGAUA
Molecule: long non-coding RNA, 964 nt
Filed under: Theobroma cacao (cacao)
Lineage: Eukaryota; Viridiplantae; Streptophyta; Magnoliopsida; Malvales; Malvaceae
Description: long non-coding RNA (TCAC_LNC002014)
Source: RNAcentral